This 401-nucleotide RNase P RNA is filed under the name Streptomyces thermogriseus. Its description in RNAcentral is "RNase P RNA component class A". It matches the Rfam family "Bacterial RNase P class A". Rfam says of the family: Ribonuclease P (RNase P) is a ubiquitous endoribonuclease, found in archaea, bacteria and eukarya as well as chloroplasts and mitochondria. Its best characterised activity is the generation of mature 5'-ends of tRNAs by cleaving the 5'-leader elements of precursor-tRNAs. Cellular RNase Ps are ribonucleoproteins. Lineage: Bacteria; Bacillati; Actinomycetota; Actinomycetes; Kitasatosporales; Streptomycetaceae. The record is from RNAcentral. RNAcentral also lists the same sequence under 2 other names.
CGAGCCGGGCGGACGGCCGCGGGAAGCCUUCCGGGGCUUUCCGAGGAACGUCCGGGCUCCACAGGGCAGGGUGGUGGCUAACAGCCACCCGGGGUGACCCGCGGGACAGUGCCACAGAAAGCAGACCGCCGGGGGCUUCGGCUCCCGGUAAGGGUGAAACGGUGGUGUAAGAGACCACCAGUGCCCAGGGUGACCUGGGCAGCUAGGUAAACCCCACCCGGAGCAAGGUCAAGAGGAGACACUCCGGUGUCUCUGCGCGGACGCUUGAGGGCUGCCCGUCCGAUGUCCGCGGGUGGACUGCACGAGGCCGGCGGCAACGUCGGUCCCAGAUGGAUGGCCGUCGCCCCGGGCUCCGCGAGGAACCCGGGGAACAGAACCCGGCGUACAGCCCGACUCGUCUG